GACGAACGCUGGCGGCGUGCCUAACACAUGCAAGUCAAGGAGAAUUCCCGACUUGUCGGGAUAGUAAACUGGCGAACGGGUGAGUAACACGUAGGUAAUCUACCCUCGGGAUCGGGAUAACCUCGCGAAAGUGGGGAUAAUACCGAAUAAAGUCUCGGUAUAAUUUGUCGAGAUGAAAGAUGGGGGAUCUUCGGACCUAUUACCUGAGGAUGAGCCUGCGCCUGAUUAGCUAGUUGGUAGGGUAAAUGCCUACCAAGGCAACGAUCAGUAGCUGGUCUGAGAGGAUGAUCAGCCACAUUGGGACUGAGAUACGGCCCAGACUCCUACGGGAGGCAGCAGUGAGGAAUUUUGCGCAAUGGGCGAAAGCCUGACGCAGCAACGCCGCGUGACUGAUUAAGCUCUGAGGAGUGUAAAAGUCUGUCGUAGAGGAAGAAACUAUCCGAUAAGAAUAUUGUCGGAUACUGACGGUACUCUAUGAGAAAGCUCCGGCUAA
RNAcentral lists this ribosomal RNA (493 nucleotides) under uncultured bacterium. Its description in RNAcentral is "bacterial SSU rRNA". It matches the Rfam family "Bacterial small subunit ribosomal RNA", at positions 28 to 500 of the family's 1533-position model. The record is from RNAcentral.